UGAGGUGUAGAGUAGUCUGGUCAACGCAUCUGUUAUGGGUAUAGAGGGCCAUGCAUAGGUUCGAAUCCUGUCACCUUGA
This 79-nucleotide transfer RNA is filed under the name Triticum aestivum (bread wheat). It matches the Rfam family "tRNA". From Rfam's summary of the family: Transfer RNA (tRNA) molecules are approximately 80 nucleotides in length. Their secondary structure includes four short double-helical elements and three loops (D, anti-codon, and T loops). Further hydrogen bonds mediate the characteristic L-shaped molecular structure. tRNAs have two regions of fundamental functional importance: the anti-codon, which is responsible for specific mRNA codon recognition, and the 3' end, to which the tRNAs corresponding amino acid is attached (by aminoacyl-tRNA synthetases). tRNAs cope with the degeneracy of the genetic code in two manners: having more than one tRNA (with a specific anti-codon) for a particular amino acid; and 'wobble' base-pairing, i.e. permitting non-standard base-pairing at the 3rd anti-codon position. Lineage: Eukaryota; Viridiplantae; Streptophyta; Magnoliopsida; Poales; Poaceae. The record is from Rfam by way of RNAcentral.